RNAcentral lists this long non-coding RNA (643 nucleotides) under Cicer arietinum (chickpea). Its description in RNAcentral is "long non-coding RNA (CARI_LNC001560)". The record is from RNAcentral. Lineage: Eukaryota; Viridiplantae; Streptophyta; Magnoliopsida; Fabales; Fabaceae.
UUUCACCACUUUUGACCCCUUGCCCUAUAAGUACCACAUGUCUCCUUUUAUGUGAUUGUAAAUUGUAAUAACAGUUUAAUAAAACUAUAAAGUGUUAAACAAGUGAAAGAAAACACAAAAAGAUGAGUAACAUUCAAUUGUGGUUUACUUUUGUAUUGGCUUUGUUACUCCACAAUUCAUUUGCCCUUGUUGUACACUCUUACCCACACCCACCACCACCACCUGGGUGCCACCAGCAUGUGCCGCAACCGCCUCCAAAAUAUAGGCCUCGUAAGACUCCACCUCCGCCGCCGCCCGCCGCGUUCUACUUCUUUUCUCCUCCACCUCCUAGUUCUCCCCAUUUUCCUAGGUCUCUGGGUCCAUUACAUCACUAAGAGGAUUAUUUUUAAUUAACUUGCCUAAUUAAGCACAGAAUCAAUGUUGUUGCAUUUAUUUUACAAUAUGAAUUACUGUUAGUAUUGUUAUAUUAUAGUGCAUAGUACUUAACUACUUAACUUAAUGUUAUUGUUAUGUUUGAUAAUGCAUGGUACUUUACUGAAUGUUAGUAUUUUUGAAUGUUAUGUUUGUUAUACCAUCUUUUUAUAUUUGCUAUUGAAUACUUAACGCAAAUAUGAUCAUUGCAACUGUGAUUUUUGAAAAGAAC